CCCUUAGUAGCGGCGAGCGAAGCGGGAAGAGCUCAAAUUUAUAAUCUGGCACCUUCGGUGUCCGAGUUGUAAUCUCUAGAAAUGUUUUCCGCGUUGGACCGCACACAAGUCUGUUGGAAUACAGCGGCAUAGUGGUGAGACCCCCGUAUAUGGUGCGGACGCCCAGCGCUUUGUGAUACAUUUUCGAAGAGUCGAGUUGUUUGGGAAUGCAGCUCAAAUUGGGKGGUAAAUUCCAUCUAAAGCUAAAUWUKGGCGAGAGACCGAURGCGAACAAGUMCCGKGAGGGAARRAUGAAAARCAYUUKGUAAARARAKUUAACAGUACGUGAAAUUGUUGGAAGGGAARCGYUUGAAGUCAGACUUGCUUKYCGAGCAAUCGGUUUGCAGGCCAGCAUCAGUUUUCCGGGAUGGRUAMUGGUAGAGAGAAGGUAGCAGUUU
Molecule: ribosomal RNA, 437 nt
Filed under: Rhodotorula mucilaginosa
Lineage: Eukaryota; Fungi; Basidiomycota; Microbotryomycetes; Sporidiobolales; Sporidiobolaceae
Description: partial large subunit ribosomal RNA
Rfam family: Eukaryotic large subunit ribosomal RNA
Source: RNAcentral